CUCCUGGGGAUAUAGAGUGGAUAGGAGAGGAUCCUGGGGUUGGUAAUCGAUAUGGUUAUAAUGGCCAAGGUCAUGGACUGAAUAGAACUACCGGACCCAACAGUGUUCCACAACGAGGAAGCAGUUUGGCGAAGAACACUAUCAGAAAGGAUUUCAGAACAUCACAAAAUGGAACUGGGAAGAAGAAACAUCACGAUAUACGGAUCCGUCAAACAAAUGUCCUAAUCAGAGAGGUGGAGAGGGUUCUUCGUGCACACAAUCCAGAUCCUCAAGAAGUUGAAAGGGCUAAGAGAAUUUUGGAGGAGCAAGAGCAUGCACUUGUGGGCGCAAUAGCAAAACUUGGAGAUAUUUCCGAUGGAGAAAACGGCAAG
Molecule: non-coding RNA, 371 nt
Organism: Camelina sativa (false flax)
Lineage: Eukaryota; Viridiplantae; Streptophyta; Magnoliopsida; Brassicales; Brassicaceae
Source: RefSeq, a predicted model, not a curated record